UACGUAGGGGGCAAGCGUUAUCCGGAUUUACUGGGUGUAAAGGGAGCGUAGGCGGCAGUGCAAGUCAGAAGUGAAAGCCCGGGGCUCAACUCCGGGACUGCUUUUGAAACUGUACAGCUUGAUUGCAGGAGAGGCAAGUGGAAUUCCUAGUGUAGCGGUGAAAUGCGUAGAUAUUAGGAGGAACGCCAGUGGCGAAGGCGGCUUGCUGGACUGUAAAUGACGCUGAGGCUCGAAAGCGUGGGGAGCAAACAGG
This 253-nucleotide ribosomal RNA is filed under the name uncultured bacterium. RNAcentral describes it as "partial 16S ribosomal RNA". It matches the Rfam family "Bacterial small subunit ribosomal RNA", at positions 524 to 776 of the family's 1533-position model. The record is from RNAcentral.